Non-coding RNA from Pimephales promelas (fathead minnow), 1749 nucleotides. Lineage: Eukaryota; Metazoa; Chordata; Actinopteri; Cypriniformes; Leuciscidae. The record is from RefSeq and is a predicted model, not a curated record.
UGCCCUUGAGGUAAGCUAAAACAUAUCAAACAUUAAUUUCAAAGUGAACUAUCCCUUUAACUUGUGUAAUAUUGCUCAUGUAUACACUCUACUACUUAAAAAAUACAUAAAAAACGAAUUACACAUUAUGCAAAAAUAUUCUGAAUUAUAAAUUUUUUUAAUACAAUUGUGUGGGAAAAAUGUCAACGCAGCAUUUUGGUCAAAUAAGUUAAAAAUAGAUGUGGAAAAGAUGAAUAAUGGAAAAAUGGCUACUAAAUACCAACAAUGAAAGGAAAGUAAAGCUGUGUGCAUGGCACAGUGUGCUGUUUUUGAUUAUUGUUGGAGAGUGUUUUAUGGAUUUUACACUAUAUGGUCUGGUUUCUGUAUAAAUAGUGAAAGUGGUAUACAUAACGAAAAAGCCAUCUUUUACAAAAACAGUUUUCACCGUCAAUUCGGAAAUGCAUAUCAACAGUAUAUAUCAGGAAUAUAGCACUGUUUAGCAAAGAGCCUAGAAAAACUUGAAAGAAAAGUGGUAAAUGAGCAAAACUGCUAAUUGACACGUAACUUUGUCCUACAUUAAGACAUCAGGUGUAAAUCUCCUCACCAAAGGUUUUAUUCAAGAAGGGUUUAUAUGGAAAACAAAAGGCUAGUGGAGAAGAACACCUCCCUCCCCUGUGCCAGCGUAAUGGUAGAUCGAGAACACGAGUGUUUCGAUUUAAGUGUGCAAAAUAAAAGCAGCGUGGAGCAACGUUGCCGUCUGGGCCUGUGAUGAAUUGCAGCAUCCGGAACCCAACUUUGAAACAGGCUAGAGGAUUGUCUUCAUCAGACAAGGCAAGACAGGACGUCCAUCACAGGACGACCAUCCAACAGAGACUCAAUAACGGCACAAGCGGUGAAAUGAAGGAAUGCUGGAGGGGGGAGUUAGAAAACCUUUGUUUUAGGCAAAGAAAAGACAUUUCGGGCCUGUGUGAAUACGGUUUAAGACAUAGCACCUUCAAACUUGAUGAAAUAUAAAAGGAAAACAUACAUUAGGUUUUAUUGCAUGCAACGCUGGCUUGUUUUUCAAAUCCGGUCUUUUGCAUCAGCAUGAUGCAAUGAAACACUAUUAUAUAACUAUUCAUGUGGAAAGGGUUUGUAGAAAAUUUUGCCUCCACUCCAGUCCAUUAUGAUAUCUCACCCCGAGAUUUCAUAAUGAUGCACAAUAAAGCAUAAGCAAUGAAGCAUUACUGUGUUUUUACUCAUAUAUUAAUGUACAAGCUGUGUACGAAAUCAUUAAAUCGCUAUUCAUUAUAUAUAUAAUAUAAUAAAUGUAUACUCUUAAAAAUAAAUGUUCCAAAAGGAGGAUUUUCGCAGUGACUCCAUAGAAGAGACUUUUUUUUCUUAGUGUGAAGAACAUUUUAAUAAUCUGAAGAACCACUAUAAAGAAGCCAAGAUUAAACGUUCUUCAUGGAACCAUAGAUGCCAAUAAAGAACCUUUACUUUUGUGUAGCAAACACCAUAUUUUAUAAAUGAGUGAAUUUGAACACUGCACAUUAUGUAUGACAUCACAUCCUGAAUGAUGAAAAACUACUUAAAAAUGGAUCUGAACCAGAACAACAGACAAACAACACAAACUGAGCGAAUUUUUUUGUCAAAAGACAAAAAAAUCCUUUGAACACUUGGUCCACCGCUCAAUAUCAAAAUUGAGGUAGUUAUGAAUUGCUUGGUGUAACAAGAAUAAUAUUACAGAACAUGAAAACUGAAAACAAAGAGAUCAGUCAGAUCAAAAAA